RNAcentral lists this ribosomal RNA (800 nucleotides) under uncultured bacterium. Its description in RNAcentral is "bacterial SSU rRNA". It matches the Rfam family "Bacterial small subunit ribosomal RNA", at positions 8 to 809 of the family's 1533-position model. The record is from RNAcentral.
AGAGUUUGAUCAUGGCUCAGGAUGAACGCUGGCGGCGUGCCUAACACAUGCAAGUCGAGCGAAGCGCUUAUGCGGAUUUCUUCGGAAUGAAGCGUAUGCGACUGAGCGGCGGACGGGUGAGUAACGCGUGGGGAACCUGCCUCAUACAGGGGGAUAACAGUUGGAAACGACUGCUAAUACCGCAUAAGCGCACAGAAGCGCAUGCUUCCGUGUGAAAAGCCGAGACGGUAUGAGAUGGACCCGCGUUAGAUUAGCCAGUUGGCGGGGUAACGGCCCACCAAAGCGACGAUCUAUAGCCGGCCUGAGAGGGCGACCGGCCACAUUGGGACUGAGACACGGCCCAAACUCCUACGGGAGGCAGCAGUGGGGAAUAUUGCACAAUGGGGGAAACCCUGAUGCAGCGACGCCGCGUGAGUGAAGAAGUAUUUCGGUAUGUAAAGCUCUAUCAGCAGGGAAGAAAAUGACGGUACCUGACUAAGAAGCCCCGGCUAACUACGUGCCAGCAGCCGCGGUAAUACGUAGGGGGCAAGCGUUAUCCGGAUUUACUGGGUGUAAAGGGAGCGCAGACGGUCUUGCAAGUCUGGAGUGAAAACCCGGGGCUCAACCCCGGGACUGCUUUGGAAACUGUGGGACUGGAGUACCGGAGGGGUAAGCGGAAUUCCUAGUGUAGCGGUGAAAUGCGUAGAUAUUAGGAGGAACACCAGUGGCGAAGGCGGCUUACUGGACGGUAACUGACGUUGAGGCUCGAAAGCGUGGGGAGCAAACAGGAUUAGAUACCCUGGUAGUCCACGCCGUAACGA